This is a small nuclear RNA of Cricetulus griseus (Chinese hamster), 109 nucleotides long. Lineage: Eukaryota; Metazoa; Chordata; Mammalia; Rodentia; Cricetidae. The record is from Ensembl.
GUGGUAGCUAGCUUUGGCAGCACAUACACUAAAAUUGGAACAAUACAAAGAAUAUUAGCAUAACUACUGUGCAAAGUUGACAUAAAUUUAUGAAUCAUUUUGUACUUAA